Molecule: non-coding RNA, 662 nt
Organism: Pelobates cultripes (western spadefoot toad)
Lineage: Eukaryota; Metazoa; Chordata; Amphibia; Anura; Pelobatidae
Source: the annotation of a GenBank genome assembly
CCCUUUUAAUGAGCUGUGUAACAGGUUUUGUACAGCAGGAAACAGGGGUGGUCGUUACAAGCAUUAUCCAAUCAUCCAAUCCUAACAAAAUCAUCUAUCUUAUCAUAACAUCCUAACCUAUAGCAAGCUUGCAGAUGUAUCUUCAUGUUUGGACCUUGCUCAACGCUAAGUUUCAAUAUAUAACUACACACUUCAAACUAAUGUGCAUGCGCACUAUGAAUUAAAGAUAUUUACUACUAAGUUCUAAAUUACACAUUACUAUGCAGUUAUGAUCAAAGAGAUAAAAACAGGAAAUAAGGCAGACAGACAGAAGAAUACAGGAUAUAACACCUGUGACUUUAUGUUCUACAGCAUAUAAACUUGUUACAUGAUAUUAUACAGCUCUUAAUUGUCUAGGGGUAUAUUCACUAAGCAUUGGAUAUAGCUAAAAUACAUUAUUGCAAAUAGCUGGCAUGUUAACCAAUUUUAAACAGACUGGCCAGCCAGUCAUCUAUAUCAUAAACCCUGGGUAAAUAUAAGCAAAGUAUAUUAUUCCCAACACGGAGGUGCCCAGUUGGGGUGCCAGGUGAUCUGUUACAAGUGGGGGCCCAGGGGGAGCACAAUAGGUCCCCCUACUUUAUGGUAAUUUAGGGCUUUGAGGGGCCCAGGGGAAGACAAUAGGU